RNAcentral lists this ribosomal RNA (433 nucleotides) under uncultured bacterium. Its description in RNAcentral is "partial 16S ribosomal RNA". It matches the Rfam family "Bacterial small subunit ribosomal RNA", at positions 29 to 507 of the family's 1533-position model. The record is from RNAcentral.
AACGAACGCUGGCGGCAUGCCUAACACAUGCAAGUCGAACGAGACCUUCGGGUCUAGUGGCGCACGGGUGCGUAACGCGUGGGAACCUGCCCUUAGGUUCGGAAUAACUCCCCGAAAGGGGUGCUAAUACCGGAUAAUGUCUUCGGACCAAAGAUUUAUCGCCUUUGGAUGGGCCCGCGUUGGAUUAGCUAGUUGGUAGGGUAAAAGCCUACCAAGGCGACGAUCCAUAGCUGGUCUGAGAGGAUGAUCAGCCACACUGGGACUGAGACACGGCCCAGACUCCUACGGGAGGCAGCAGUGGGGAAUAUUGGACAAUGGGCGAAAGGCUGAUGCAGCAAUGCCGCGAGAGUGAUGAAGGCCUUAGGGUAGUAAAGCUCUUUUACCCGGGAUGAUAAUGACAGUACCGGGAGAAUAAGCUCCGGCUAACUCCGUG